RNAcentral lists this microRNA precursor (97 nucleotides) under Ricinus communis (castor bean). RNAcentral describes it as "miR156f stem-loop (rco-MIR156f)". Its record names the gene rco-MIR156f. Lineage: Eukaryota; Viridiplantae; Streptophyta; Magnoliopsida; Malpighiales; Euphorbiaceae. The record is from miRBase by way of RNAcentral.
UUUUGUUGACAGAAGAUAGAGAGCACAACUUAACAUACCCAACGACAGAUUUGUGUAUGUGAAGUUUUGUGCUCUUUUUUCUUCUGUCAACUUAUAU